UUACCAGGUCUUGACAUCCCGAUGCUAUUUCUAGAGAUAGAAAGUUACUUCGGUACAUCGGUGACAGGUGGUGCAUGGUUGUCGUCAGCUCGUGUCGUGAGAUGUUGGGUUAAGUCCCGCAACGAGCGCAACCCCUAUUGUUAGUUGCCAUCAUUCAGUUGGGCACUCUAGCGAGACUGCCGGUAAUAAACCGGAGGAAGGUGGGGAUGACGUCGAAUCAUCAUGCCCCUUAUGACCUGGGCUACACACGUGCUACAAUGGUUGGUACAACGAGUUGCGAGUCGGUGACGGCGAGCUAAUCUCUUAAAGCCAAUCUCAGUUCGGAUUGUAGGCUGCAACUCGCCUACAUGAAGUCGGAAUCGCUAGUAAUCGCGGAUCAGCACGCCGCGGUGAAUACGUUCCCGGGCCUU
Molecule: ribosomal RNA, 410 nt
Filed under: uncultured Streptococcus sp.
Lineage: Bacteria; Bacillati; Bacillota; Bacilli; Lactobacillales; Streptococcaceae
Description: bacterial SSU rRNA
Rfam family: Bacterial small subunit ribosomal RNA
Source: RNAcentral